This 253-nucleotide ribosomal RNA is filed under the name uncultured bacterium. RNAcentral's name for it is "partial 16S ribosomal RNA". It matches the Rfam family "Bacterial small subunit ribosomal RNA", at positions 524 to 776 of the family's 1533-position model. The record is from RNAcentral.
UACGUAGGCAGCAAGCGUUGUUCGGAUUUACUGGGCGUAAAGGGUGCGUAGGCGGUUGUUUAAGUUUGGUGUGAAAUCUCCCGGCUCAACUGGGAGGGUGCGCCGAAUACUGAAUGACUAGAGUGUGGGGGAGGAAAGUGGAAUUCCUGGUGUAGCGGUGAAAUGCGUAGAUAUCAGGAGGAACACCGGUGGUGGAAACGGCUUUCUGGACCAUAACUGACGCUGAGGCACGAAAGCGUGGGUAGCAAACAGG